Sinocyclocheilus anshuiensis is the source of this 213-nucleotide long non-coding RNA. RefSeq lists it as uncharacterized. The transcript is spliced from 3 exons. NCBI's taxonomy places the organism in Eukaryota, Metazoa, Chordata, Actinopteri, Cypriniformes, Cyprinidae. The record is from RefSeq and is a predicted model, not a curated record.
UUAUAUCAACUGUCUUGUUUUGUUUAGUGACAUACAGUUAGGCUUUUAUUACUUGCUAUUAUCAUUUUCAAGACAGAUGGAAAUAAGUUGUGAAAUUGCAACAAUAAGGAAACUCCCCUGCCUGCCAGUGGUUGGAUAUUCAGUACAGACUACAAAGACAUAACAUUAAAUCAGUAAAACAUGAAAGACAGUUGAUAAUAAACUGGAUUAUUU